UGGUGGAGUGAUUUGUCUGGUUAAUUCCGAUAACGAACGAGACUCUAUCCUGCUAAAUAGUCACCACGCAAUAAUUACGUGGACUGACUUCUUAGAGGGAUUCGCUACUUAUAGUGGCACGAAAUCGAGCAAUAACA
RNAcentral lists this ribosomal RNA (137 nucleotides) under uncultured eukaryote. Its description in RNAcentral is "partial 18S ribosomal RNA". It matches the Rfam family "Eukaryotic small subunit ribosomal RNA", at positions 1299 to 1458 of the family's 1831-position model. The record is from RNAcentral.